AUGAACGCUGGCGGCGUGCCUAAUACAUGCAAGUCGAGCGAACGGACGAGAAGCUUGCUUCUCUGAUGUUAGCGGCGGACGGGUGAGUAACACGUGGAUAACCUACCUAUAAGACUGGGAUAACUUCGGGAAACCGGAGCUAAUACCGGAUGAUAUUUUGAACCGCAUGGUUCAAAAGUGAAAGACGGUCUUGCUGUCACUUAUAGAUGGAUCCGCGCUGCAUUAGCUAGUUGGUAAGGUAACGGCUUACCAAGGCAACGAUGCAUAGCCGACCUGAGAGGGUGAUCGGCCACACUGGAACUGAGACACGGUCCAGACUCCUACGGGAGGCAGCAGUAGGGAAUCUUCCGCAAUGGGCGAAAGCCUGACGGAGCAACGCCGCGUGAGUGAUGAAGGUCUUCGGAUCGUAAAACUCUGUUAUUAGGGAAGAACAUAUGUGUAAGUAACUGUGCACAUCUUGACGGUACCUAAUCAGGAAGCCACGGCUAACUACGUG
Molecule: ribosomal RNA, 496 nt
Filed under: uncultured bacterium
Lineage: Bacteria
Description: partial 16S ribosomal RNA
Rfam family: Bacterial small subunit ribosomal RNA
Source: RNAcentral